RNAcentral lists this unclassified non-coding RNA (240 nucleotides) under soil metagenome. RNAcentral describes it as "partial contains 5.8S ribosomal RNA, internal transcribed spacer 2, and large subunit ribosomal RNA". The record is from RNAcentral.
AACCAUAGAAACCUGCGGAGUACCUGCGGAAGGAUCAUUAAAAAGAGUGUGUACCCCUCUGUAAAAUGAGUGGGUUACCUCCCGUCCUUUGUUGACCUCUUAGGAGGUUAUUUUGAACUUUCUGCUUCGGUGGGGUUAAACCUACCGGAACACCCUCAAAUUCUUAUCAUUUAAAAAUUGUUCAGUCUGAUUUUUGUUAAUAAAAACAAAAAACUUUUAGCAACGGAUCUCAGAUCGGAA